GGCUGGUCCGAUGGCAGUGGGUUAUCAGAACUUAUUAACAUUAGUGUCACUAAAGUUGGUAUACCACCCCCUACUGCUAAAUUUGACUGGCUUUAA
This 96-nucleotide Y RNA is filed under the name Cavia aperea (Brazilian guinea pig). RNAcentral's name for it is "Y RNA (ENSCAPG00000005109.1)". It matches the Rfam family "Y RNA". Rfam says of the family: Y RNAs are components of the Ro ribonucleoprotein particle (Ro RNP), in association with Ro60 and La proteins. The Y RNAs and Ro60 and La proteins are well conserved, but the function of the Ro RNP is not known. Lineage: Eukaryota; Metazoa; Chordata; Mammalia; Rodentia; Caviidae. The record is from RNAcentral.